AGAGUUUGAUCAUGGCUCAGAAUCAACGCUGGCGGCGCGCUUAACACAUGCAAGUCGAACGAGAAAGCGGGGGUAACCUCGUGAGUAAAGUGGCGUCCGGGUGAGUAACACGUGGAUCAUCUACCCCGAAGUGGGGAAUAACGCUGGGAAACCGGCGCUAAUACCGCAUAAUCCCGAGAGGGCAAAGGAGCAAUCCGCUUUGGGAGGAGUCCGCGGCCGAUUAGCUUGUUGGUAGGUUAAUGGCCUACCAAGGCUUUGAUCGGUAGCCGGCCUGAGAGGGCACACGGCCACACUGGCACUGAAACACGGGCCAGACUCCUACGGGAGGCAGCAGUGGGGAAUCUUGCACAAUGGGGGAAACCCUGAUGCAGCGACGCCGCGUGAGCGAUGAAGCCCUUCGGGGUGUAAAGCUCUUUCGGCAGGGACGAUUAUGACGGUACCUGCAGAAGCAGCUGCGGCUAACUACGUGCCAGCAGCCGCGGUAAUACGUAGGCAGCAAGCGUUGUUCGGAGUUACUGGGCGUAAAGGGUGUGUAGGUGGCCUGUUAAGUUCCGUGUGAAAUCUCCCGGCUCAACCGGGAGGGUGCGCGGAAAACUGGCGGGCUAGAGUGCGGGAUGGGAGAGUAGAAUUCCUGGUGUAGCGGUGAAAUGCGUAGAUAUCAGGAGGAAUACCUGUGGUGUAGACGGCUCUCUGGACCGCAACUGACACUGAGACACGAAAGCGUGGGUAGCAAACAGGAUUAGAUACCCUAGUAGUCC
RNAcentral lists this ribosomal RNA (758 nucleotides) under uncultured bacterium. Its description in RNAcentral is "bacterial SSU rRNA". It matches the Rfam family "Bacterial small subunit ribosomal RNA", at positions 8 to 796 of the family's 1533-position model. The record is from RNAcentral.